This 668-nucleotide unclassified non-coding RNA is filed under the name Hevea brasiliensis (rubber tree). The record is from RNAcentral. Lineage: Eukaryota; Viridiplantae; Streptophyta; Magnoliopsida; Malpighiales; Euphorbiaceae.
AUACAGUUUAAAACAGUUUGUCACUUUUUUAAUAUUUUAUAUGGAUAUUUUAGUACCUUUAUCACCAAAUAUGACUACCAUUUUAUUAGUUGAUAACUAGCAUUUUAGUCAAGGUGAGUGCCACCAGAAUUAUCCUUCUAUAUAUAGUAUAAAUAUCAACAGCAAAGCAAUAAUGUGGCAGAUUUAAUAAUUAUAAUUCCUUGACAUUUAGCAAUUGUGCAAACAAUUUAUUGAACAAUAUGAAUAAAUGGCAUCACAGCAUUUCUUUACUUGAAAGUAACUCAAAUAAGCCUUAGACCCAAUCCUAUUGGGCAUUACAAUAUGGUUCUUUUUCUUCAAUUCUACUCGGUUUAGGGCUAAAUCUACAGCUUAGUCUAGUAUUGGUAAUUUAUUUUGCACUACUUCAGCCUAGUUAUCUUAUGUCUACCUCUUUUUAUCAUCUUGUUUUAUUAAAAUUGAUUGUUACUAAUUUUCAGUUUUGAGUUCAUAUGUCAUGUGAAUAAACCGAUAAAUAACACAUCACACAAACCCUUGAAGGAAAAACUAACCAGUGAAGCAACAUGUUAAUCAAACCUGCUAUAUAAAUAGAAAAGGAACAUAGAGGACAAUUUGACCAGCUAAAUAGCUAAUAACCUAAUAGGAGUGGAAGCAAGGAAAAUGCAAAUAGU